This 236-nucleotide long non-coding RNA is filed under the name Ricinus communis (castor bean). RNAcentral's name for it is "long non-coding RNA (RCOM_LNC001123)". The record is from RNAcentral. Lineage: Eukaryota; Viridiplantae; Streptophyta; Magnoliopsida; Malpighiales; Euphorbiaceae.
UAGGGUUUUCUAUGAAGAUGAAGGCGCUGAAAGGACUGCACCUCAUCAUCACCAUCCAUGCAUUCAUUAGAAUUACUGCCAUUUCCUCUAUGCUUUCCCAAUAAUGGGAGCAGUAAAAUCCAAAGUAACAGGCGGUCGUCCAUCGUCAUCGAUGUUGUCGAUAUUAGCUGCAGCAACACUAUUGAUGGUUGCAUUACUGGUUACCAUGACCAAUUUCAGGAGAUCUUACUAUUGUU